This 258-nucleotide ribosomal RNA is filed under the name uncultured bacterium. Its description in RNAcentral is "partial 16S ribosomal RNA". It matches the Rfam family "Bacterial small subunit ribosomal RNA", at positions 793 to 1055 of the family's 1533-position model. The record is from RNAcentral.
GUCCACGCCCUAAACUAUGAUUACUCGAUGUUAGCGAUAUACAGUUAGCGUCCAAGCGAAAGCGUUAAGUAAUCCACCUGGGGAGUACGACCGCAAGGUUGAAACUCAAAGGAAUUGACGGGGGCCCGCACAAGCGGAGGAGCAUGUGGUUUAAUUCGAUGGUACGCGAGGAACCUUACCUGGGCUUGAAAGUUAGUGAUCGGUUGUGAAAGCAGCUAUUCCGCAAGGACACGAAACUAGGUGCUGCAUGGCUGUCGU